CUGCUCACUUCGGCAGCACAUCUCCUAAAACUGGAAUGGCAACAGAGAUUAGCAUGACCCCCGUAUGAAGAUGGCACACAAAUCUGUGAAGUGUUCUGUAUUUUU
Small nuclear RNA from Bos taurus (domestic cattle), 105 nucleotides. NCBI's taxonomy places the organism in Eukaryota, Metazoa, Chordata, Mammalia, Artiodactyla, Bovidae. The record is from Ensembl.